RNAcentral lists this ribosomal RNA (404 nucleotides) under uncultured bacterium. RNAcentral's name for it is "bacterial SSU rRNA". It matches the Rfam family "Bacterial small subunit ribosomal RNA", at positions 355 to 775 of the family's 1533-position model. The record is from RNAcentral.
UAGGGAAUAUUGCACAAUGGGCGAAAGCCUGAUGCAGCAACGCCGCGUGCACGAUGAAGGCCUUCGGGUCGUAAAGUGCUUUUCGGGGAGACGAGGAAGGACGGUAUCCCCGGAAUAAGGAUCGGCUAACUACGUGCCAGCAGCCGCGGUAAAACGUAGGAUCCGAGCGUUAUCCGAAUUCACUGGGCGUAAAGCGCGUGCAGGCGGAUCAGUAAGUUGGAUGUAAAAUCUCCUGGCUCGACUGGGAGGGGACGUACAAGACUGCUGGACUAGAGGAUGGCAGAGGAAGGUGGAAUUCCCGGUGUAGUGGUGAAAUGCGUAGAUAUCGGGAGGAACACCAGAGGCGAAGGCGGCCUUCUGGGCCAUACCUGACGCUCAGACGCGAAAGCUAGGGUAGCAAACGG